Rattus norvegicus (Norway rat) is the source of this 141-nucleotide non-coding RNA. NCBI's taxonomy places the organism in Eukaryota, Metazoa, Chordata, Mammalia, Rodentia, Muridae. The record is from Rfam.
AGCUUUGUGCAGUGGCAGUAUCAUAGCCAAUGAGGUUUAUCCGAGGCACGAUUAUUGCUAAUUGAAAACUCUAAUUUCUUUUUCAGUUUAAAGGAGGACUACUGAUCUCUUUGAGUUAAUUUUUUAUCAAUCUACUUUGUU